AUGACAGAUGCCGCUGUGUCCUUGCCAAGGACUUCCUGGCAGGUGGAGUGACCGCGGCCAUCUCCAAGAUGGCGGUGGCACCCACGGAGGGGUCAAGCUGCUGCUGCAGGUGCAGAGUGCCAGCAAGCAGAUCACCGCAGAUAAGCAAUACACGGGCGUUGUAGACUGCAUGGUCCGCAUUCCCAAGGAGCAGGAGUCCUGUCCCUCUGGCACGGUAACCUGGCCAAUGUCAUCAGAUACUUCCCUACCCACGCUCUCAACUUUGCCUUCAAAGAUAAAAACAAGCAGAUCUUCCCGGGGGGUGUGACAAGAGGAUCCAGUUUUGGCACAAGUUUGCAGGGAGUCUGGCAUCAGGUGGUGCCCCUGGGGCCACAUCCUUAUGUUUUGUAUACCCUCUUGAUUUUGACCGUACCCAUCUAGCAGCUGAUGUGGGUAAAGCUGGAGCUGAAAGGGAAUUCCAAGGCCUUGGUGACCGCCUGGUUAAGAUCUACAAAUCUGAUGGGAUUAAAGGCCUGUACCAAGGCUCUAACAGGUCUGUGCAGGGUAUUAUCAUCUACCGAGCUGCCUGCUUCGGUGUCUAUGACACUGCAAGGAGAAUGCUUCCAGAUUCCAGGAACACUCACAUGUCAUCAGCCGUAUGAUCGCGCAGUCCGUCACUGCCGUUGCUGGGUUGACUUCCUAUCCAUUUGACGCUGUUCGCCACGGAAUGAUGAUGCAGUCAGGGUGCAGCUGACAUCAUGUACACAGGCAGGCUUCACUGCUGGAGGAAGAUUGCUCCUGAUGAAGGAGGCAGAGCUUUUUUCAAGGGUGCAUGGUCCAAUGUUCUCAGAGGCAUGGGUGGUGCGUUUGUGCUUGUCUUGUAUGAUGAAAUCAGAAGUACACAUAA
This 886-nucleotide long non-coding RNA is filed under the name Homo sapiens (human). RNAcentral's name for it is "non-protein coding lnc-MTNR1A-6:1". The record is from RNAcentral. Lineage: Eukaryota; Metazoa; Chordata; Mammalia; Primates; Hominidae.